GACGAACGCUGGCGGCGCGCCUAACACAUGCAAGUCGAACGAGCGAGAGAGAGCUUGCUUUCUUGAGCGAGUGGCGAACGGGUGAGUAACGCGUGAGGAACCUGCCUCAAAGAGGGGGACAACAGUUGGAAACGACUGCUAAUACCGCAUAAGCCCACGGUGCCGCAUGGCACAGAGGGAAAAGGAGCAAUCCGCUUUGAGAUGGCCUCGCGUCCGAUUAGCUAGUCGGUGAGGUAACGGCCCACCAAGGCGACGAUCGGUAGCCGGACUGAGAGGUUGAACGGCCACAUUGGGACUGAGACACGGCCCAGACUCCUACGGGAGGCAGCAGUGGGGAAUAUUGCACAAUGGGGGAAACCCUGAUGCAGCGACGCCGCGUGGAGGAAGAAGGUCUUCGGAUUGUAAACUCCUGUUGUUGGGGAAGAUAAUGACGGUACCCAACAAGGAAGUGACGGCUAACUACGUG
Molecule: ribosomal RNA, 466 nt
Filed under: uncultured bacterium
Lineage: Bacteria
Description: partial 16S ribosomal RNA
Rfam family: Bacterial small subunit ribosomal RNA
Source: RNAcentral